AGCGAACGCUGGCGGCAGGCCUAACACAUGCAAGUCGAACGAACCUUUCGGGGUUAGUGGCGGACGGGUGAGUAACACGUGGGAACGUGCCUUUAGGUUCGGAAUAACUCAGGGAAACUUGUGCUAAUACCGAAUGUGCCCUUCGGGGGAAAGAUUAAUCGCCUUUAGAGCGGCCCGCGUCUGAUUAGCUAGUUGGUUGAGGUAAUGGCUCACCAAGGCGACGAUCAGUAGCUGGUCUGAGAGGAUGAUCAGCCACAUUGGGACUGAGACGCGGCCCAAACUCCUACGGGAGGCAGCAGUGGGGAAUCUUGCGCAAUGGGCGAAAGCCUGACGCAGCCAUGCCGCGUGAAUGAUGAAGGUCUUAGGAUUGUAAAAUUCUUUCACCGGGGACGAUAAUGACGGUACCCGGAGAAGAAGCCCCGGCUAACUUCGUG
RNAcentral lists this ribosomal RNA (434 nucleotides) under uncultured bacterium. RNAcentral's name for it is "partial 16S ribosomal RNA". It matches the Rfam family "Bacterial small subunit ribosomal RNA", at positions 29 to 507 of the family's 1533-position model. The record is from RNAcentral.